UACGUAGGGUGCGAGCGUUGUCCGGAAUUACUGGGCGUAAAGAGCUCGUAGGUGGUUUGUCGCGUUGUCCGUGAAAACUCACAGCUUAACUGUGGGCGUGCGGGCGAUACGGGCAGACUGGAGUACUGCAGGGGAGACUGGAAUUCCUGGUGUAGCGGUGGAAUGCGCAGAUAUCAGGAGGAACACCGGUGGCGAAGGCGGGUCUCUGGGCAGUAACUGACGCUGAGGAGCGAAAGCGUGGGGAGCGAACCGG
Molecule: ribosomal RNA, 253 nt
Filed under: uncultured bacterium
Lineage: Bacteria
Description: partial 16S ribosomal RNA
Rfam family: Bacterial small subunit ribosomal RNA
Source: RNAcentral